GUCUCAGCAACAGCCGUCGCCGG
This 23-nucleotide small nuclear RNA is filed under the name Arabidopsis thaliana (thale cress). Its description in RNAcentral is "snRNA_11519". Lineage: Eukaryota; Viridiplantae; Streptophyta; Magnoliopsida; Brassicales; Brassicaceae. The record is from RNAcentral.